UUUCAGGUCUGUGGUUGAAAGUCGAUGCCAGACGCAGGCAAAGCGAUCCACUUAAGUCAGGGAAAAUUCCUGAUGAGCAUGGUGCGUUUUAGAGGUAAGUCCGUCCCCGGUCCACCGGGAGAGGAGUAGUAGUGGGGAGGCAGGGGCCUUAUGAGCGAACCUUCCAGGCGGCGAGUGUGGGGGCAAAAACCAGGUCAGCUGAA
This 203-nucleotide non-coding RNA is filed under the name bovine gut metagenome. RNAcentral describes it as "raiA RNA". It matches the Rfam family "raiA RNA". RNAcentral also lists the same sequence under 1 other name. The record is from RNAcentral.